Molecule: long non-coding RNA, 3426 nt
Filed under: Nicotiana tabacum (common tobacco)
Lineage: Eukaryota; Viridiplantae; Streptophyta; Magnoliopsida; Solanales; Solanaceae
Description: long non-coding RNA (NTAB_LNC006804)
Source: RNAcentral
CUGUGGUGAUUGAUACGAUGUUUGUAUGUUAGAAGCAGGCCUGGUAGAGAAUUCUGAAUGUUGGAAUUUUGCUCUAAUGCUUAUUUGCCUAAAAAAACCUACAAAACAAACUAGACCCAAGACUGAGCAAUCAACCGUUUUGUGACAGGAAGGACCCCAAGACCCUAAGUUCUCCUACGUCAUUUGACAACCCUAGAGUACCUAGCUAACCUAAUGCCUGAAGAAUCCGCCGCUUUUCCAUAGAAAAGGCAUCAACUUAUUCUUCUUGACCCACCUUCCGAAUCUCUCAAUAAAUUGCCGAAAAACAUAACCACACACUCCUAACCAGUGACCACACUCAAACGACCACACCUCCCUCUCUCCAAUACCAUCGCCACCGUUGGAUUUCAUCACCGGCUAGCCGGAAAAUGUGAUUCAAACCACCCACUUCCCCUCCUCCCUUCAUCCGUCUCCUUCACCCUAAACUAGUUGCCGUCGCAACUCCACCAAAGAACAAAGCCAACUCUCUGGAACCCUCACCUCAUCUAGCUUCCAAGAAAGAAUUCGACCAACAGAAAUCAGAUCAAAUGGCGAAACAUUGCAGCGUCUCGCUCUCCGUCCAGAGAUCUAUUUCCUACUCUUUUCGUGACUUCUCUCUCUUUGUUGCCGUUAUUGUUUGAGUCCAUUUUGAAGCUCGUUCGGUGAGUUUGUUCAAAGUUGAGCGUUGAAGACGUUCGAGGUCAUUGAGUCUUUGUUCCGUUUGCGAUUAUUUUACGGUUACGCAAACAAAUAGAGGGAUUUCCCUGACAAGGGAUGAGCACAAAAGUGUGGCCGAAUUGGCUCAAGAAUUGCAACGUCUUUAUGUGGAUGAACCUGUAAAAUGUGCUCGAAUAUUCAGAGGUAAACUUUAGUGUUAUUUUUUAGUAGAAACAGAGUUCCGUUAAACUCUCUAUGUGCCCUUGCAGAUUAAUAUCUCCUUGAUCUUUUUCCUAUUUCCCCUCUUUGGACAUAUAUUAAUUAUCAGAAGUAAUUUUCUUUGUUAACCUAGCAUGUCUGGCCUAGUUAUUUUUCCUCAUAAGUACAGUAUCCCUAUUUCUUGUUAAGCACCAAGUGCACCAUUCUUCUGAACAAGUUCCUGCCAAUUCCUUCUGUUUGGUUUAGAGAAAGUUGUGCAUUCAAAUUAACAUACUCAACAGAUGAUCUAGAUUUUUCACUUAAUAAGUCUGCAGAAUAUGAUCACUGACGAAAUACUGUGUUAUAAUGCAUGAUUUUGUAUACCCUAGAACAAAAUGCACCAAAAUAGUGAAUAACCUCUGUAGUUAUAUGUUAUCUAACUUGAAAACAUCGGCAAUCUAGCACCAGUUAAGGAAGUUGGAUGAUCAUGUUGCCUAUUUACACAGAGCAUCAAAUGUUUAGUUUGAUAAGUAAAAUAACUUUUUUUAAUUACCUAGGUAGGCACGAUUUUAAUUAACCAAAUAAUUGUAAUUGUGUACACCUUCGCGUGACAUAAUUACGAUUUCUAAAAAAUAAAUCGAGGUAUGCGUUCGCGCAACUUCGGCUAAAACUUUCUUAAUAAAAAUCAAGCGUUAUUAAUUGUGGACACGUUCGCGUGACAUGAUUUUUGACGCACCAAACAAAUGGGUACACGUGCGCGUGACUUGUUUAAAGAUAUUUUCUUAAUUAAAAGAGGCAAAUGCACAUAAGUUCUAAAAUGAUUAAUUAGACAAUUUAAUAAGCCAAGUAUGAUCAAAGCGACCGUGCUAAAACCACGGAACCCGGGAACGCCUAACACCUUCUCUCGGGUUAACAGAAUUCCUUAUUCGGAUUUCUGUGUUCGCAUACCAUAAAUAGAGUCAACUUCCUUGAUUCAGGAUUUUAACUGGUGACUUGGGACACCAUAAAUUAUCCCAAGUGGCGGCUCUGAUUUUUAUAUAAAUAAUUCUAUUUCGAUUGUCACUUAAACUAGAAAAACUCCCUUAUUCCUCUUUCGGGGGUGGUAAAAAGGAGGUGUAACAGCUCUGGCGACUCUGCUGAGGAUGAGAACCCAGAACUUCUGGUUCAGGGUUCAAGAAUUCGAGCUUGUUAAUAUGUUUUUUACUUGGCUUCAUUUAUUAUUAAUAUUACUGUAUUUUGUGAACCUUUUGUGCUAAUUGCUGUCUAUUUACCGUUUUGAUAUUAUUUGGAUUGUAUAUAACUGUCUUCUUAUGCCACCCCUCUGAGUCUUCUAAAAAUGGUGCACACAUUUGCGUGGCCCACUUUUUUUGUAGAAGUUAUACCAAAUAGAAUGAGGCUAGGCCAGCAACAAGGCCGGGUAGACUUUAGUGCUCCCGGUACAUUACCCCCUCAUUUGCUCGAGUUGUCCGCUCGGGUAAGCCUGGUCAAUAACACAACCCUAAGUUUAAACUUAGAAUAACAUAACCUCACGUCAGAUCCCUAUUAGGAACGUUUGUUUGCAUCAUGCGAAUUUGACUUUGGGGACUCAACACAGGGGUUGGGUCCGUCUAGGAUAGGUGUACCCAAAAUAACAGACAAUCUCGAUGCAUCCUAUGUGCUACAUGUUGUAUUUCUUCAAGGGUAAAAGGGUCAUUUGACGAACCAAUGAUGGUUGAGGGUAAAUGAGAAAGAAAAGAGGGUGAAGUGUGAAAAUAAAGCAAGUAGGGCCCAGUUAUAAUUUUCUUUCACGCUUUUUCAAGAAAAGACCAAAAAAAUGAAAAAAUCCAAUUUUUUUUUGAACUUUCCCAUUAUUUUUUAGGAAAAGAAAAUUCAAAAAGAAUUUACAUGUUUCAUCAUUUUUUUUAAAAAAAAGACAAAAAAUAUAUUUUUCUCUAAAUUAGUUGUUUUUUUAACUCUCGCCCGUAUCCAAUCUGCCCGAACUACACAUACCUGAUUCUCGUCUUUUGGGGCGUGAUACGUAGGCAACCCAUAUAGGGUCCGGUCUUUCUAGUGAAUCUUAGGUUCUUGGCUUUGCGGGGUCUUAGCCAAAUUUUGCACUUCCAGCCCCAUUUUGGCCACAUAAGUUAUUUUGCAAAAAUAGUCUCAAUCAUGUCUUGCAUGCAUCCAAUAGGGAAUGUUAUUUUCUCACAUAGUUUUCUAGGUCUUUAACUAUAUUUGGUCUUAAUUUUCUCAUACAGGUGUGGAUUUACUUACCGGAGUUUGAGCAUGAUAGACGCCCCAGGACCAUCUAGUCAGGAUCGCUCGAUCAGAAGUGGCUUAAGGAGAUUUUUUAAUUUUUUAUGUUUUAAGUUUGUUUUUAUUUUUUCGUCGUCUUUCACUUUCUAGUUUUGUACAUUAAUGUCGAGUAUUCCGUUAUGUAUUUCCUAUUUUGUAUCAGAAAUAAGAUGUGUGAUAAAUCAAAAAUCCAAAAAAAAGAAGAGAUUUUGCGUUUUUAUAUUUCUGUUAGAUGUUUUCUUUAGAAUACUAACUCUAGAAGUUCAAAAAAAAAUCUUU